GGSGUGCCUAAUACAUGCAAGUCGAGCGAAUCUGAUGGGAGCUUGCUCCCUGAUGAUUAGCGGCGGACGGGUGAGUAACACGUGGGUAACCUGCCUGUAAGACUGGGAUAACUCCGGGAAACCGGGGCUAAUACCGGAUAACUUUUUUCUUCGCAUGARGGAGAAUUGAAAGAUGGCYUCGGCUAUCACUUACAGAUGGACCCGCGGCGCAUUAGCUAGUUGGUGAGGUAACGGCUCACCAAGGCGACGAUGCGUAGCCGACUUGAGAGGGUGAUCGGCCACACUGGGACUGAGACACGGCCCAGACUCCUACGGGAGGCAGCAGUAGGGAAUCUUCCGCAAUGGACGAAAGUCUGACGGAGCAACGCCGCGUGAGUGAUGAAGGUUUUCGGAUCGUAAAACUYUGUUGUUAGGGAARAACAAGUWUCGUUCGAAUAGGGSGGUACCUUGACGGUACCUAACCAGAAAGCCACGGCUAA
This 479-nucleotide ribosomal RNA is filed under the name Heyndrickxia oleronia. RNAcentral's name for it is "bacterial SSU rRNA". It matches the Rfam family "Bacterial small subunit ribosomal RNA", at positions 41 to 500 of the family's 1533-position model. Lineage: Bacteria; Bacillati; Bacillota; Bacilli; Caryophanales; Bacillaceae. The record is from RNAcentral.